This 2941-nucleotide long non-coding RNA is filed under the name Gallus gallus (chicken). The record is from RNAcentral. Lineage: Eukaryota; Metazoa; Chordata; Aves; Galliformes; Phasianidae.
CGCGGGGCGGUGGUGCCGCUCUCCUCAGGCGGCCGCGUCCCUCCCCCUUCAGGCCCUCCUGAGGUGAGGGGAAGGAGGGUGUGGGGGCGCGCCGGGACCUCCGCUGCCUGAGGGGAGGGAGCUCCGCGCCCCACACAAAGGGCGCUGCCCGCGGCGGGAGGAGGGGCGGCCCCGGGGGCUGAGGGAGCGGGAGGGCCGGCGGUGGGGGGCAUUCGUACUGCGGGCCGAGGCGGGGCCUUGAGGGCCGGGGGGGCCGCGGUCAGCCACCGCACGCCUGGGAGCGGAGCGGGUUUAGUAACGAUGUGAGGGGCAGAGAGGAGGGGAUCUCGUGACAGACUGUCCCUUCUGUUUAAUGCCCGCCGCGUCUCCGUGUUUGCUUUAAGGACCCGUAGCAGAUGACGGCCGCGCAGCCUCACAAGGCGCUGUGCCCAGCUCCUGCGGAACUUCGCGCCCGCCGCCACUAACUGCAAGCUGAGGAAAGAUCCAAAGCUGAUAUAUCUCUGGAGUACACUGCCCAACUCUGAGCUGGGAGUGGUGAAUAUAACGCUUGGAAUCAGUUUUACUUUAACACACUCCAGAAUAACUGCUCAGCUGUGGAAGGACUGACACCCAAGAUGUGAAGGAUGGAAGUGCAAAGCCUCUCGCACUGUCACAGGACCAAGACUUGCAGCAGACUCACGGUCCAGCAUGCGCUGCCCAGAUCAGCAAUUUUCACUUCCAUGCUCAUUAAAUCAGAAUCUUCCAGUUGAUUGCCAGGAUCUCCUCCUAGAUGGAAAGGAGGGAGAGAAAUCAGGUCUUUCUCCAAACCAACAGGUAUGCAUCACUUACCACAGAAGGUAUAUAUAGACCUACCUGCCUUUGCAAUUUUUCAACCUAAGCAAUCCAAAAAUGCUUUAGGCAGGGGACUCCUUUUAUCACCAAUAAAAUGCCACUUCUGAUUUUUGAGGGAAUGCAAAGGAAGGGCUGCUAACCAGUCACAGUCUAAGAGAAUGUUAUGGAAAACUGCAGCUUGCAGUGGAGUGGUGUGACCACAUGCACCUCUCCUGCUGCAAGGUGGCCUGCCUGGCAAGAACUGUCAAGAUAGCAUUUUCAUAUGUAGACCCUGGAAAAGGGUAAUUUUUGUUUUACUGCUUUGUAACUGUCAACUUAUGUCUGGUAUCAUGCCUUUUUGUUCCCAGCAAAAGACUGUCAAUAAUUUUGCAUUUGUCUAUUACCCCAGGGUUUGAGGGACAAAACAGCAACAUCAUGGGAGAAAUGCUUGUGGGAGAAUAUUGUGGGAGGAGAUAUUAAGAGUUUCAUUGCUGGGUGACUAAAUCCCUUGAGAAACUCUAGCCCUAUGGCUUACCAUAUAUUCACAUCAUUCUCUGAAAAUAAAUCAUGUCUCAGAAGGCCUCAAAGAGUACACAUAAGUCUCCCACAAACCUCAGGAAUACGGGAAAUAAAAGAGUAGAUGUGUCAUACAGUUUUUUGAUCAAACCAUUCAGUAGUUGAAAGUGCCAGAUGAGGAACUAUCCUGUACUGAAAGCUAUAAGAAUUAGCUCUGAGGUUGUGCUUAGCUUAUUGACAAGUGCCUGUGAUUUUUCAUUGUUCUGCAUGCACACCUAUGUGCAAGGCCACUUUUCUGUUGGUGCCCUGAGUAACUUGGAGCCACUCGGUAUGGGGUUUGUAGUAACAGAGACAGGAGAGGUCUCAGCAGUGUAAGUUGUCUGUGUUGUUUUGUACCAGUGUUGCAGGAGACGUUAACUUUUCUUAAGCUAUCUGCACCUACUCUGCUGUUUCACUCCUGGCAACAACCUCUUAAGUCUCUCUUCUUGCAGUAAAACCCGCAGUGCUCACCUGGUGCCUUUAGCCUCAAAUCUGUUCCCUGGCCACAUUCAGCACCAUCAAGCAGAAACCUGUGGAGGUUUUUGUCAUGAAUAUACAGCAGCACGUUCUCUGGUUUGAUGUCUGCAUGGAUAAUCCGGCAGCGCCCAUGCAGGAAGUGCAGGCCUGCUAGCACCUGUGUGAGCCGAACAGCACUUAGAUUAGCAGUGUGACAGAUACUGUAUGCGUGCAGCAGUUGCACCCUGAAGAACAGCAAUGUUGGCUGAGUGUAGAAGCAGGCACAAGUGGUUUCAUCCUGAGAACGGCCAGCGCCGUAGCCCUGGCACAUUCGGCACACCCAGUGAUAGAGCAUGGAGAUCUGGCAAAGGACACAGCAUGAGUGCCCAGGUGCCAGCACAGAUGGGCAGGCCUGGAGAGUUGGAAAUAGGACGAGAUAGGGCUAUGAAGAGGCAUUGCAAUCACAAAGCAGAAUUUUUUCCUGAAAAGCAGCUUUUGUUCACAUGGAUGGCACGUCUUCAGCCCACCAAGCCUAUCUGUUAAUACAGCAUUAUCACUGGAAUGGAAGUUGGGAGUCGGUUAUAGGGUGUUUGACGUGGCACAGGAGGGAGUCCCAGCGUGCAAGGAAAGAGAAGGAGGUGAAUCAUAACGCAGACAGGAGGAGGGAGGGAUGAUGAGUGAGUACAUGCAGAGAGGAAUUAAGGGUACUGCAGGAGAGCCAUGUAGGGAAAGAACAGCUCACGGUGGAGCAGGGAGAGCCUGGCUGUCACAGGGGAGAGAUAAACAAUGCCUGCAAGAGAAACACACGCUAUCAGAAAAUAACAGUGAAAAGGCUACUAGGAAGUUAAGUUGCUCUUUUAAAACACUGGUCAGUCAUAAAGGCUGGCGAAUAUUCUCUGUAUUAUCAAAAUCUAUUCUGGGAUGAGCACCAGCCCCAGGGAAAUACCAACCUUAAAUGGUAACUGUGAAACACAAGAAAAGAUUUAAAUAGCUAAACUGGAAUGAAUCAGAAGUAAAUGCCUCAAUGCUAAUCCAAAGGCGAAAAAAAAAUACAAUUUACAUAGAUAAGAGAUCAAACAGAAGGCUUGGGUGUGAAACAGAGCAUAUUGAUGAAUGCCAC